RNAcentral lists this transfer RNA (73 nucleotides) under Peptostreptococcaceae bacterium oral taxon 113 str. W5053. It matches the Rfam family "tRNA". Rfam says of the family: Transfer RNA (tRNA) molecules are approximately 80 nucleotides in length. The record is from Rfam by way of RNAcentral. Lineage: Bacteria; Bacillati; Bacillota; Clostridia; Peptostreptococcales; Peptostreptococcaceae.
GGGAAGUUAGCUCAGUUGGUAGAGCGCCACGUUGACAUCGUGGAGGUCAUCGGUUCGAGACCGGUACUGCCCA